CAGCCCUAAACGAUGCGCGUUAGGUGUAUCGGUGACCACGAGUCACCGAGGUGCCGAAGGGAAACCGUGAAACGUGCCGCCUGGGAAGUACGGUCGCAAGGCUGAAACUUAAAGGAAUUGGCGGGGGAGUACCACAACGGGUGGAGCCUGCGGUUUAAUUGGACUCAACGCCGGGAAGCUCACCGGAUAAGACAGCGGAAUGAUUGCCGGGCUGAAGACCCUGCAUGACCAGCUGAGAGGAGGUGCAUGGCGUGUGACUGU
RNAcentral lists this ribosomal RNA (261 nucleotides) under uncultured archaeon. Its description in RNAcentral is "partial 16S ribosomal RNA". It matches the Rfam family "Archaeal small subunit ribosomal RNA", at positions 748 to 1008 of the family's 1478-position model. The record is from RNAcentral.